Non-coding RNA from Pangasius djambal, 72 nucleotides. The record is from the annotation of a GenBank genome assembly. NCBI's taxonomy places the organism in Eukaryota, Metazoa, Chordata, Actinopteri, Siluriformes, Pangasiidae.
UCCCAGGAGGACUAGUGGUUAGGCCUCAGCGCUCCCUCCGCCAUGGCCCGGGUUUGAUACCCGGUCAGAGAA